GAGCGUUUACUGUUAUAGGAGCUUUGUACUCCCUAAUAGGAGAGUCUGGAGAUGAUUUCAGCUCCCAUGAGGUACACACCGGGAAGCCCUCUGCAGAUAGCUCUACAUCUCAGGAGGAACUACAAAAAUACUGCUAAGGAAAAGGAUGACUGAAAUUCUGUGCCUAGCUUGUUGCCACUGUGACUCAACUUCAGAUAAACAAAAGAAGAUGGCUGGAUGGACAGAAGAACGGAUGGGUUUUUGCUCUAGGACGUUUGGGAGUACAGCCAGUACUUGGUCAUGGCACCACUUGUAUCUGCCUUGGUUAAGAGCAGACAUGUACCCUAAUAAGAUAUGUACCAGGGUCCCUGUAGAACUUGGACAUUAGGUCAUCUCUCAUGCCCCUGCUGUGCAGAUGUGGAAUGGCUCCAGAAGUCAACCCAAGUGUCAAAGAGCCCAAAUGCAGACUCGGAAAAGGACAAUGGGAUCAAACUUAACUGGAUUUUAUUUACUAAACACUAAACACAAAUUGUGGGUGGUGCGUGGAACUCGAACAAGGGUCAGGAAUUGUGUGCGUCAUGGAACUUGCACAAGGGUCUUUUGCCUUCAAGUGGAGGGUGCCUAGGAAAAAGCAAUACUGGGCGGGUGAGUGUCCAGACAGAUGAGAGUGAGUCCAGAAUCCAACCUGAAUGGUCCAGUGAACGGGAAUCCAGUGGCAGGAGGGCAGGCAAGUGAGGAAUGGUGAUCCUGUGAUUAUGAACCAGCGGUUAGCGUUUCCAGAGAUGACCAGAGUCCGGGUGAGUGAAAAGAAGUGCGAAUGAUGAGUAUGGUGAAUCCAAGAAGCUACUAGAAACACAAGGAGAACGGGAUAAGUUAGCAUGAACAAGAGAAAUCACAAGAUGCAAAGGAGGCCUAAUACUAACGUAGAUUAGAAGACGAACUGGUGAAGAAAAGUUGCAUGCGCUGGUCUUAAACACUGUUGGCUGAUUAUCCCGGAUCACAGACAGGUGAGCAUGACAGGCGUGUGGAUGAGGGCUCCGCCCAGAGGUGGAACUCAGAAACGUGGAAAAAAUGCAGCUACUCUCCUGGACCAUGACACCAAGUCACCUUCCUCUUGGGGUGGACCCAUGUUGCCCCGGAGCCCUGGGAGGUAAGCUUGACUGCUCUUUACUCUAUGUUUCUCAUUUCUGCCUCGAUCAUGGUUUUCCUCUUUGUUAAGUUAAGCUUUUCCAGACUUUUGGAAGCAUGUGAUGCCCAGACUUUGUCAUCCUGUACAGGCUGCUAAAAUAAAGUUGGCUAUUAAAGAUUCCUUUUUCUUGGACCAGUGAUU
This is a long non-coding RNA of Oreochromis aureus, 1309 nucleotides long. Lineage: Eukaryota; Metazoa; Chordata; Actinopteri; Cichliformes; Cichlidae. The record is from Ensembl.